Molecule: ribosomal RNA, 490 nt
Filed under: uncultured bacterium
Lineage: Bacteria
Description: partial 16S ribosomal RNA
Rfam family: Bacterial small subunit ribosomal RNA
Source: RNAcentral
AUUGAACGCUGGCGGCAGGCCUAACACAUGCAAGUCGAACGGUAACAGGAAGCAGCUUGCUGCUUCGCUGACGAGUGGCGGACGGGUGAGUAAUGUCUGGGAAACUGCCUGAUGGAGGGGGAUAACUACUGGAAACGGUAGCUAAUACCGCAUAACGUCGCAAGACCAAAGAGGGGGACCUUAGGGCCUCUUGCCAUCGGAUGUGCCCAGAUGGGAUUAGCUAGUAGGUGGGGUAACGGCUCACCUAGGCGACGAUCCCUAGCUGGUCUGAGAGGAUGACCAGCCACACUGGAACUGAGACACGGUCCAGACUCCUACGGGAGGCAGCAGUGGGGAAUAUUGCACAAUGGGCGCAAGCCUGAUGCAGCCAUGCCGCGUGUAUGAAGAAGGCCUUCGGGUUGUAAAGUACUUUCAGCGGGGAGGAAGGGAGUAAAGUUAAUACCUUUGCUAAUUGACGUUACCCGCAGAAGAAGCACCGGCUAACUCCGUG